Molecule: unclassified non-coding RNA, 250 nt
Organism: Bos indicus x Bos taurus (hybrid cattle)
Lineage: Eukaryota; Metazoa; Chordata; Mammalia; Artiodactyla; Bovidae
Gene: 7SK
Rfam family: 7SK RNA
About the family: 7SK was discovered as an abundant small nuclear RNA in the mid-70s but a possible function has only recently been suggested. Two independent studies have found that 7SK RNA binds the CDK9/cyclin T complex (known as elongation factor P-TEFb).
Source: Ensembl
AGAUAGGAGGACGAUAUGUCUGCCACACCUGUCACUUCACUGACCACUGCAGUUGACUCAGCUGAUGUAGUUAAUAAAUAGACGUCUCCUUUGUCCCUCACAGCUCCAUGUCCACCUCUCUAACCUUGGAUUUAAGAUGUCCAAAAGGGAAGGGAUAUAUGUAUGUAUAUGGCUGAUUCAUUUUGCUGUACAGUAGAAACUCACACAACUAUAGUUAUAAAGAAAUUCUGCUGCUGCUGCUAAGUUGCUU